GGAGUUUGUUUCAGCUGACUAUAUGCCUACUCAGUCACACGUUUGUCGCAUUGGUUGUUUUUCGCUUGGUAUUGGCGUUUGAAUUAAGUAUUUUUCAAGAAUUGUCGCAUCACAAGGUAGCGCAGCAGACUAAAGUCCCAUAAUGUCCACAGUCGCGAGUUUAAUUGAUUUUGAUGCUGACGAGUCGCCGAAAUGGCGUACAAAGGGAGCAGAGGUUCCUACCGUGAACGAAAUGAUUGAAAGUAUCGUAAAAUACCAAAAUCUCUGGA
Dendronephthya gigantea is the source of this 269-nucleotide long non-coding RNA. RefSeq lists it as uncharacterized. NCBI's taxonomy places the organism in Eukaryota, Metazoa, Cnidaria, Anthozoa, Malacalcyonacea, Nephtheidae. The record is from RefSeq and is a predicted model, not a curated record. The transcript is spliced from 3 exons.